This 1291-nucleotide ribosomal RNA is filed under the name Rothia kristinae. RNAcentral describes it as "bacterial SSU rRNA". It matches the Rfam family "Bacterial small subunit ribosomal RNA", at positions 115 to 1412 of the family's 1533-position model. The record is from RNAcentral. Lineage: Bacteria; Bacillati; Actinomycetota; Actinomycetes; Micrococcales; Micrococcaceae.
ACGUGAGUGACCUGCCUUUGACUCUGGGAUAAGCCUGGGAAACUGGGUCUAAUACCGGAUGCGACUACUGCCCGCAUGGGCUGGUGGUGGAAAGGGUUAUGUACUGGUCUUAGAUGGGCUCACGGCCUAUCAGCUGGUUGGUGGGGUAAUGGCCUACCAAGGCGACGACGGGUAGCCGGCCUGAGAGGGUGACCGGCCACACUGGGACUGAGACACGGCCCAGACUCCUACGGGAGGCAGCAGUGGGGAAUAUUGCACAAUGGGCGCAAGCCUGAUGCAGCGACGCCGCGUGAGGGAUGACGGCCUUCGGGUUGUAAACCUCUUUCAGCAGGGAAGAAGCGGAAGUGACGGUACCUGCAGAAGAAGCGCCGGCUAACUACGUGCCAGCAGCCGCGGUAAUACGUAGGGCGCAAGCGUUGUCCGGAAUUAUUGGGCGUAAAGAGCUCGUAGGCGGCUUGUCGCGUCUGCUGUGAAAGCCCGGGGCUUAACUCCGGGUGUGCAGUGGGUACGGGCAGGCUAGAGUGCAGUAGGGGUAACUGGAAAUUCCGGGGUGUAGCGGUGAAAUGCGCAGAUAUCAGGAGGAACACCGAUGGCGAAGGGCAGGUUACUGGGCUGUUACUGACGCUGAGGAGCGAAAGCAUGGGGAGCGAACAGGAUUAGAUACCCUGGUAGUCCAUGCCGUAAACGUUGGCACUAGGUUGUGGGGGACAUUCCACGUUUUCGCGCGUAGCUAACGCAUUAAGUGCCCCGCCUGGGGAGUACGGCCGCAAGGCUAAAACUCAAAGGAAUUGACGGGGGCCCGCACAAGCGGCGGAGCAUGCGGAUUAAUUCGAUGCAACGCGAAGAACCUUACCAAGGCUUGACAUACACCGGAUCGUUCCAGAGAUGGUUCUUCCCUUUUGGGCUGGUGUACAGGUGGUGCAUGGUUGUCGUCAGCUCGUGUCGUGAGAUGUUGGGUUAAGUCCCGCAACGAGCGCAACCCUCGUUCUAUGUUGCCAGCACGUGAUGGUGGGGACUCAUAGGAGACUGCCGGGGUCAACUCGGAGGAAGGUGGGGAUGACGUCAAAUCAUCAUGCCCCUUAUGUCUUGGGCUUCACGCAUGCUACAAUGGCCGGUACAAUGGGUUGCGAUACUGUGAGGUGGAGCUAAUCCCAAAAAGCCGGUCUCAGUUCGGAUUGGGGUCUGCAACUCGACCCCAUGAAGUCGGAGUCGCUAGUAAUCGCAGAUCAGCAACGCUGCGGUGAAUACGUUCCCGGGCCUUGUACACACCGCCCGUCAAGUCACGAAAGUU